UACGUAGGUGGCAAGCGUUGUCCGGAAUUACUGGGCGUAAAGAGCUCGUAGGUGGUUUGUCGCGUUGUUCGUGAAAUGCCACAGCUUAACUGUGGGCGUGCGGGCGAUACGGGCAGACUGGAGUACUGCAGGGGAGACUGGAAUUCCUGGUGUAGCGGUGGAAUGCGCAGAUAUCAGGAGGAACACCGGUGGCGAAGGCGGGUCUCUGGGCAGUAACUGACGCUGAGGAGCGAAAGCGUGGGGAGCGAACAGG
This 253-nucleotide ribosomal RNA is filed under the name uncultured bacterium. RNAcentral's name for it is "partial 16S ribosomal RNA". It matches the Rfam family "Bacterial small subunit ribosomal RNA", at positions 524 to 776 of the family's 1533-position model. The record is from RNAcentral.